This is a non-coding RNA of Gossypium hirsutum (cotton), 106 nucleotides long. The record is from Rfam. NCBI's taxonomy places the organism in Eukaryota, Viridiplantae, Streptophyta, Magnoliopsida, Malvales, Malvaceae.
AGUUCGUGGUAUGGACAAUUCCUUAGCAUUGUCUUAAAACGUUCUCAAUUCUCAUAAAGGAUUUCACCUUUGUAUUGUUUAAAAUUAGUUAUUUUUCGCCAAAGUU